UACGUAGGGACCGAGCGUUGUCCGGAAUCAUUGGGCGUAAAGAGCGUGUAGGCGGCUAUUUAAGUCCUGCGUGAAAUCCUGCGGCUCAACCGCAGACGGUCGUGGGAAACUGGAUGGCUAGAGUGCGGGAGAGGAGAGUGGAAUUCCCGGUGUAGCGGUGAAAUGCGCAGAUAGUCGUAAGGAAGACCAGUGGCGAAGGCGAGUCUCUGGACAGCAACUGACGCUGAGGCACGAAGGCCAGGGGAGCAAACGGG
RNAcentral lists this ribosomal RNA (254 nucleotides) under uncultured bacterium. RNAcentral's name for it is "partial 16S ribosomal RNA". It matches the Rfam family "Bacterial small subunit ribosomal RNA", at positions 524 to 776 of the family's 1533-position model. The record is from RNAcentral.